AUACGGAGGGUGCAAGCGUUAAUCGGAAUUACUGGGCGUAAAGCGCGCGUAGGCGGUUAUUUAAGUCAGAUGUGAAAUCCCUGGGCUCAACCUAGGAACUGCAUCUGAUACUGGGUAACUAGAGUUUUGGAGAGGUAAGUGGAAUUUCCGGUGUAGCGGUGAAAUGCAUAGAGAUCGGAAGGAACACCAGUGGCGAAGGCGACUUACUGGCCAAAAACUGACGCUGAGGUGCGAAAGCGUGGGUAGCAAGCAGGAUUAGAUACCCUAGUAGUCC
RNAcentral lists this ribosomal RNA (274 nucleotides) under uncultured bacterium. RNAcentral's name for it is "partial 16S ribosomal RNA". It matches the Rfam family "Bacterial small subunit ribosomal RNA", at positions 523 to 796 of the family's 1533-position model. The record is from RNAcentral.